This is a long non-coding RNA of Poecilia latipinna (sailfin molly), 1729 nucleotides long. RefSeq lists it as uncharacterized. The transcript has 2 exons. NCBI's taxonomy places the organism in Eukaryota, Metazoa, Chordata, Actinopteri, Cyprinodontiformes, Poeciliidae. The record is from RefSeq and is a predicted model, not a curated record.
CAGGGAGGCCACUUCUGCAACGACUUUUCCGAAAAUAUAACCGAACAUCCAUGUGACCCACAGCAGUUUCCAAGAAAGAUGGCGUCCGCAGAAGUGUGCCGACUCCCGUCUGCUGCUUCUCGGCUCUCUGGUGACUGUCAGCUGCUCAGUAGGCAGUGUAGAUCCUGUGUAGCAAUCAGCAGCUACAUCUGGCUACUGGGUCUCUGACGGCUCCGCCCACUUCCCGGUCCAAAGUUCUUCCUCUGUCGGCCCGUGGCGCGUUCCCACUCCACCACCGGCUGUGAUUUUGGGGGGCCCGUUCAGUGACGGGAUGCUGUCGGUGUCACAACUCCACCAGGGCCCAUCAUCACAUUUGUUCUUCUUCCUGUUUUGUCAAUGUCAUUUGGCAUCUCUGAGUUUCUGACUUCUGAUUGAAUUCCGUCUACUUUGAUUAAGCUACAAAUGGGCACAUUUCAUAAAAAUGGUGUUGGCGGAUGCCCAAGAAGCCACACUAGGGAGAUAUUUGCUUUGUCCUGAACCUGGCAUACAAUGUAGAUUCCUGUGUGGUUCAAUUCUACAGCUACAUUGUCUGCUGGGUUUCUGGCUAGCAAUAUAAGCUUCUGUGACAUGAAGGUCACCUUUGCUCCAUAAGGUAAGAAUCUAUCUUCUGUGCUGCCAAAAAGUAUUUGGCCCUGUUAAGAUUUAUUCUGCUUUUGUUGUUUUGUGACAUUUAAGUGUUUCAGAUUGUCCAACAAAUGUUAAAGUGGCAGUGUUAUGCGUUUUCCAGGCAUAUAAUGGCAAAGCAACUAUGUUACCUUUAGUUGUUAUAAAAAUGCUGCAUAUAUCAAAUAUGACUUAAAAGAAAUUUGACUUCGCAGUUGAACACUUUAAAAUUGGGCCUGUGUCUCUUUAAGAAGCCCCUACUCGUUCUGAUCCUCCACCUUCAGGAAGUCAUCACAACAUGGCUCCUAUAUUAACCCUUUAACAACAUUUUUAAAAGUGUUGCACUGAGAAGUAACUUGUAAUAAGCUUAGUAGAUGUGCAGCUCCACCAGGUGUUUGCUAACUGCUGCUGCUGCUAGUCUGAAGGAGCCGUCGAAGGCGGCAGUUCCACAAACCCGGAAAGAAAAAUCUGUCUAGACCUCGACAAACUGAGCUGAGUGGUUAAGGGUUCCAGCAACAACAAACUUUGACUAACUGGAAGACAAAUGCUUCUCAAAUAUUCUGUGGCCUGAUGAGACAAGAGUCACAUCUUUUUCAAUGCGUGUCCUUCGCCUAGCUUACAGCGAUCUAUCAUGGCAUUUCAGAAAAACCACACAAUGCCUGCAGUCAGACAUGUGAUGGUCACAGGAAGCCCAUCAGGACGUCCAGCCGUAAAUGGCUAAAAAAUAAAACCAGAGAAAACGAAGGGUUUGGAUUGGACUAGUCAAAGUCUCAUGCUGUUUGUUCUUUAACCCAACACCUCAAUUUAAAAUACUGAUUGCCAGUUAUGAUAAGUAUUAUGGGGUAAUUAUUUUCCAUAACCGUUUUCCCUUAACAGACGAAAUCAUCAUCUGAAAACUGCACUUUGUUUUUACUCGGGUUGUUUUGGUCUGAUAAUCAAAUCUGUUUUUCUUACCUGAAACAUUUAAGUGCAUUAAAAAAAAAGCAGCAUAAACAGAAGAUGUUUUCAUUGCACUGCAUCCUAUCACUGAAAUAUGUCUGACCCUGACGAUUCCAAUAAAGAGAAAAUAUUUCAAAUUAAACUCGCA